UACGGGGGGAGCAAGCGUUGUUCGGAUUUACUGGGCGUAAAGGGCGCGUAGGCGGCCACCGCAAGUCGGUUGUGAAAUCUCUGGGCUUAACCCAGAAAGGUCAACCGAUACUGCGGGGCUAGAGUGCAGAAGGGGCAACUGGAAUUCUCGGUGUAGCGGUGAAAUGCGUAGAUAUUCGCAAGAACACUAGUGGCGAAGGCGGCUCACUGGCCCGGUACUGACGCUGAGGUGCGAAAGCGUGGGGAGCAAACAGG
Molecule: ribosomal RNA, 254 nt
Filed under: uncultured bacterium
Lineage: Bacteria
Description: partial 16S ribosomal RNA
Rfam family: Bacterial small subunit ribosomal RNA
Source: RNAcentral